Molecule: long non-coding RNA, 994 nt
Filed under: Gossypium barbadense (sea-island cotton)
Lineage: Eukaryota; Viridiplantae; Streptophyta; Magnoliopsida; Malvales; Malvaceae
Description: long non-coding RNA (GBAR_LNC012963)
Source: RNAcentral
AAAAAUAACAUAAAAUAAAGUAUUAUAAAUUUAAAAAUGAGUCAGGUCGAGCGAGACUAAAGCCUUGAUGGUUCAAACUUAAGUUCCACUUAUAUUUUAUAUGGGCCUAAUUUUUUUACUCAAAACUAAUUUUUCAAGCCUAAUAUUUUUAUCCAAACCCCUCAUAUUUCAGGUGAACGUUUGGAUUUAGACAAAUAACCCAACCCAUAAACAAGUCUAAAUAGUAGUUGUAGAGCCCAAUUUUAGCCCGGGCCAAAAACAAAACCAAAUAAAAAACAAAGUCCAAAAUAACUAAAUUAGUCCAAAAUUACAGCCCAAAUUAAAUACCCAAACUAAAGACCUAGGCCCAAAAUCCUAGCCCACCUAGCACUAACCCACAACCAGUAAAAACAGAAAACCCUAGGUGCGCCGCACCUAGGUUGGUUGCCCACCCCUCCAUCGAGCGCCGCACGCCCCAUGCACGACCCCCAGCUCGCGUGUUGCACACCCCACGUCCGUGCAUUCCUCCUCCACAUCUUCACGAUACCUGCGACUUGAGCAAGAAAAUAGCAAGAGACUAGUUGUAUUCAGCUAUAAAGCCCUCAAAUUUUGAUUGUUUUGGGGACCUUUUUUUCUUUUUUUUUUCCAGAGAGAUAGAAUAAAGAUAUAAAGAAAUCAACAAAUAUACAGAAAUCAACAAGAAACAGUCAGAAGAAUACAUUUUAAAGGUGGUUUACCGCCCUUUUUUUCGAUUUUUUUUCCUUACUUAUUUUCAUUUGAAUCCACAAUACAAAUACAAAAUAUAAGAGAGAGAGGAAGGGUCUCACCGGAGUCGUCUUGAGUUCACAUCGAUGGAGUACUCCAUUGGUCGCAAUUGGAUUUUGGGGCGGUUGAGGGCUUGGAUAUUAGCCUUUUGGCUGGAAAACAAGGGGAAAGUGCGUGAGUUAAGAGAAAAGAAGAUGAUUUUAGGGUUUUUUAUUUUUUUUAAAAAACAAGUGACCAAAUGAAUUUUUGU